GUUAAGUCCAGUAACGAGCGCACCCCUAUUCUAUUUGCCAGCACUUCGGUGGGAACUAUAAGGAGACCGCCGUGUAUAACACGGAGGAAGGCGGGGACGACGUCAAGUCAUCAUGGCCCUUACGGGUUGGGCUACACACGUGCUACAAUGGGAGAUACAGAUGGUUGCGAAAGCGCGAGCUGGAGCUAAUCCCAAAAAGUCUUCCUCAGUCCGGAUUGGAGUCUGCAACUCGACUCCAUGAAGCAGGAAUCGCUAGUAAUCGUGAAUCAGAAUGUCGCGGUGAAUACGUUCCCGGGCCUU
This 300-nucleotide ribosomal RNA is filed under the name uncultured bacterium. Its description in RNAcentral is "bacterial SSU rRNA". It matches the Rfam family "Bacterial small subunit ribosomal RNA", at positions 1079 to 1382 of the family's 1533-position model. The record is from RNAcentral.